GGUUAAGCGACUAAGCGUACACGGUGGAUGCCCUGGCAGUCAGAGGCGAUGAAGGACGUGCUAAUCUGCGAUAAGCGUCGGUAAGGUGAUAUGAACCGUUAUAACCGGCGAUUUCCGAAUGGGGAAACCCAGUGUGAUUCGUCACACUAUCAUUAACUGAAUCCAUAGGUUAAUGAGGCGAACCGGGGGAACUGAAACAUCUAAGUACCCCGAGGAAAAGAAAUCAACCGAGAUUCCCCCAGUAGCGGCGAGCGAACGGGGAGGAGCCCAGAGCCUGAAUCAGUGUGUGUGUUAGUGGAAGCGUCUGGAAAGGCGCGCGAUACAGGGUGACAGCCCCGUACACAAAAAUGCACAUGCUGUGAGCUCGAUGAGUAGGGCGGGACACGUGGUAUCCUGUCUGAAUAUGGGGGGACCAUCCUCCAAGGCUAAAUACUCCUGACUGACCGAUAGUGAACCAGUACCGUGAGGGAAAGGCGAAAAGAACCCCGGCGAGGGGAGUGAAAAAGAACCUGAAACCGUGUACGUACAAGCAGUAGGAGCCUCUUUAUGGGGUGACUGCGUACCUUUUGUAUAAUGGGUCAGCGACUUAUAUUCUGUAGCAAGGUUAACCGUAUAGGGGAGCCGUAGGGAAACCGAGUCUUAACUGGGCGAAUGAGUUGCAGGGUAUAGACCCGAAACCCGGUGAUCUAUCCAUGGGCAGGUUGAAGGUUGGGUAACACUAACUGGAGGACCGAACCGACUAAUGUUGAAAAAUUAGCGGAUGACUUGUGGCUGGGGGUGAAAGGCCAAUCAAACCGGGAGAUAGCUGGUUCUCCCCGAAAGCUAUUUAGGUAGCGCCUCGUGAAUUCAUCUCCGGGGGUAGAGCACUGUUUCGGCAAGGGGGUCAUCCCGACUUACCAACCCGAUGCAAACUGCGAAUACCGGAGAAUGUUAUCACGGGAGACACACGGCGGGUGCUAACGUCCGUCGUGAAGAGGGAAACAACCCAGACCGCCAGCUAAGGUCCCAAAGUCAUGGUUAAGUGGGAAACGAUGUGGGAAGGCCCAGACAGCCAGGAUGUUGGCUUAGAAGCAGCCAUCAUUUAAAGAAAGCGUAAUAGCUCACUGGUCGAGUCGGCCUGCGCGGAAGAUGUAACGGGGCUAAACCAUGCACCGAAGCUGCGGCAGCGACACUAUGUGUUGUUGGGUAGGGGAGCGUUCUGUAAGCCUGCGAAGGUGUACUGUGAGGUAUGCUGGAGGUAUCAGAAGUGCGAAUGCUGACAUAAGUAACGAUAAAGCGGGUGAAAAGCCCGCUCGCCGGAAGACCAAGGGUUCCUGUCCAACGUUAAUCGGGGCAGGGUGAGUCGACCCCUAAGGCGAGGCCGAAAGGCGUAGUCGAUGGGAAACAGGUUAAUAUUCCUGUACUUGGUGUUACUGCGAAGGGGGGACGGAGAAGGCUAUGUUGGCCGGGCGACGGUUGUCCCGGUUUAAGCGUGUAGGCUGGUUUUCCAGGCAAAUCCGGAAAAUCAAGGCUGAGGCGUGAUGACGAGGCACUACGGUGCUGAAGCAACAAAUGCCCUGCUUCCAGGAAAAGCCUCUAAGCAUCAGGUAACAUCAAAUCGUACCCCAAACCGACACAGGUGGUCAGGUAGAGAAUACCAAGGCGCUUGAGAGAACUCGGGUGAAGGAACUAGGCAAAAUGGUGCCGUAACUUCGGGAGAAGGCACGCUGGCGGUAGGUAAAGUCCCUCGCGGACGGAGCUGAAGCCAGUCGAAGAUACCAGCUGGCUGCAACUGUUUAUUAAAAACACAGCACUGUGCAAACACGAAAGUGGACGUAUACGGUGUGACGCCUGCCCGGUGCUGGAAGGUUAAUUGAUGGGGUCAGCCGUAAGGCGAAGCUCCUGAUCGAAGCCCCG
RNAcentral lists this ribosomal RNA (1896 nucleotides) under Proteus mirabilis. Its description in RNAcentral is "partial 23S ribosomal RNA". It matches the Rfam family "Bacterial large subunit ribosomal RNA", at positions 1 to 1922 of the family's 2925-position model. Lineage: Bacteria; Pseudomonadati; Pseudomonadota; Gammaproteobacteria; Enterobacterales; Morganellaceae. The record is from RNAcentral.